This 64-nucleotide transfer RNA is filed under the name Velutinodorcus velutinus. RNAcentral describes it as "tRNA-Pro". Lineage: Eukaryota; Metazoa; Arthropoda; Insecta; Coleoptera; Lucanidae. The record is from RNAcentral. RNAcentral also lists the same sequence under 1 other name.
CAGGAAGUAGUUUAUUAAAAAUAUUAAUUUUGGAGAUUAAUGAUGAAGAGAAGAUCCUUUCUGA